This 254-nucleotide ribosomal RNA is filed under the name uncultured bacterium. RNAcentral's name for it is "partial 16S ribosomal RNA". It matches the Rfam family "Bacterial small subunit ribosomal RNA", at positions 524 to 776 of the family's 1533-position model. The record is from RNAcentral.
UACGUAGGGAGCAAGCGUUGUCCGGAUUCAUUGGGCGUAAAGAGCUCGUAGGCGGCUAAGUAAGUCAGAUGUGAAAACUCCAGGCUCAACCUGGAGACGCCAUUUGAUACUGCUUUGGCUUGAGUUCGGUAGGGGACCAUGGAAUUCCUGGUGUAGCGGUGAAAUGCGCAGAGAUCGGGAGGAACACCCGUAGCGAAGGCGGCACUCUGGGCCGGUACUGACACUGAGGAGCGAAAGCGUGGGUAGCGAACAGG